Molecule: ribosomal RNA, 408 nt
Filed under: uncultured bacterium
Lineage: Bacteria
Description: bacterial SSU rRNA
Rfam family: Bacterial small subunit ribosomal RNA
Source: RNAcentral
AGCAGUGGGGAAUUUUGGACAAUGGGCGCAAGCCUGAUCCAGCAAUGCCGCGUGAGUGAAGAAGGCCUUCGGGUUGUAAAGCUCCUUUGUCAGGGAAGAAACGGUGAGGGCUAAUAUCUCUUGCUAAUGACGGUACCUGAAGAAUAAGCACCGGCUAACUACGUGCCAGCAGCCGCGGUAAUACGUAGGGUGCAAGCGUUAAUCGGAAUUACUGGGCGUAAAGCGUGCGCAGGCGGUUUUGUAAGUUUGUCGUGAAAGCCCCGGGCUCAACCUGAGAAUUGCGAUGAAGACUGCAAGGCUUGAAUCUGGCAGAGGGGGGUAGAAUUCCACGUGUAGCAGUGAAAUGCGUAGAGAUGUGGAGGAACACCGAUGGCGAAGGCUGCCCCCUGUUCAAGAUUGACGCUCAUG